This 51-nucleotide non-coding RNA is filed under the name unclassified sequences. The record is from Rfam.
ACGACACCGGUUCACGGCGGCACCCACCCGGGGUGCCGGCGACCCGGCGUC